UACGUAGGGUGCAAGCGUUAAUCGGCAUUACUGGGCGUAAAGCGUGCGCAGGCGGUUAUGCAAGACAGAUGUGAAAUCCCCGGGCUCAACCUGGGAACUGCAUUUGUGACUGCAUGGCUAGAGUACGGUAGAGGGGGAUGGAAUUCCGCGUGUAGCAGUGAAAUGCGUAGAUAUGCGGAGGAACACCGAUGGCGAAGGCAAUCCCCUGGACCUGUACUGACGCUCAUGCACGAAAGCGUGGGGAGCAAACAGG
RNAcentral lists this ribosomal RNA (253 nucleotides) under uncultured bacterium. Its description in RNAcentral is "partial 16S ribosomal RNA". It matches the Rfam family "Bacterial small subunit ribosomal RNA", at positions 524 to 776 of the family's 1533-position model. The record is from RNAcentral.